RNAcentral lists this ribosomal RNA (380 nucleotides) under Trachylepis casuarinae (Casuarina Island skink). RNAcentral's name for it is "partial 12S ribosomal RNA". It matches the Rfam family "Bacterial small subunit ribosomal RNA", at positions 830 to 1379 of the family's 1533-position model. The record is from RNAcentral. Lineage: Eukaryota; Metazoa; Chordata; Lepidosauria; Squamata; Scincidae.
GCUUAGCCCUUAACAUAGACAGUAAGCACACAAUACUGUCCGCCAGAGAACUACAAGUGAAAAACUAGAAACUCUAAGGACUUGGCGGUGCUCCAUACCGACCUAGAGGAGCCUGUCCUAUAAUCGAUAACCCACGUUUUACCUCACCACUUCUUGCAACUCAGCCUAUAUACCGCCGUCGCCAGCCUACCUUAUGAAAGAGACAAAGUAGGCACAACAGUUAACAACUAAAACGUCAGGUCAAGGUGUAGCAUAUGAAGCGGAAGAGAUGGGCUACAAUCUCUACAACAGAGUACACGAAUGGCACAAUGAAACCUAUGCCUGAAGGCGGAUUUAGCAGUAAGCUCAACAAGAAACUUCACCUGAACCCCGCUCUGGAG